This 73-nucleotide transfer RNA is filed under the name Candidatus Micrarchaeota archaeon CG1_02_60_51. RNAcentral describes it as "tRNA-Val". It matches the Rfam family "tRNA". Rfam says of the family: Transfer RNA (tRNA) molecules are approximately 80 nucleotides in length. The record is from RNAcentral. RNAcentral also lists the same sequence under 5 other names. Lineage: Archaea; Nanobdellati; Microcaldota.
GGGCUCGUGGUCGAAUGGUUAAGACGCCACUCUCACACAGUGGAGAUUCGGAGUUCGAUUCUCCGCGAGCCCA